GGACUUGGAGCUAAGAAAGGUAGCAGUCGUGAAACCUAUGCUAACUUAGUGUAUAUGAAUACAAAUCAAGCUAGAGGGGAACAUUUAUGGACAAUGGACUCGUGGAGUGUCAUUUAACGCGACGAUGAAUUCUGACCCAAGCAGGAAGCGUUUACAGUUAAUCCAACACGACCUCAUCAAGUGGCUAAUUAUCCUGCAGAAUUGAUUGAUGGGGCUUGUUGGAGAGUCUUCUUUGCAAGCAACAAAAAUGACCUUGAAGCAGACGUGUGAGGGAACUGUCGAGCGAGGCCGCACAGAAACAAGACGGCGAUAACGACUCCCAAGGGUCCACCGUGACUAGCCAACACCUGGAUGGAUGUCUCAUCAGGAGCAGACAAAGCAGUCAGUGUUGUGUUCCUCCGGAGGCCCACUAAAAGGAUUGCAGCAUGAAAAGCCAUCAGCAGGGAUUCAACAGUUGCUCGUCUGGUCUGAUUGGCCAAAAGCAAGCGGCCAAUCGCACCAAAGCAGCCCGUGAGUGGGUGGAGCCUCUGCAAGACCCUUCUACCCCCCAAGCGCUGAUUGGCUGAGGAUGAGGUGAGUGUUUCAAAUAUCUCCGAAGGAGGUGACACAUGACACUGUUGCUGAUGCCUUUCUAUUCGACUACUUUGAGGAUUUUUAUCAUUUAAAAGCAUUCUUUUUGGUCGUCAUCAGAGGAAAAAUGUAUUUGUGUGUCCUGAAAUCCUAUCAGAUCUCAUUCAUUUCUUGUCUGAAUUAAACAUUUA
Dunckerocampus dactyliophorus (ringed pipefish) is the source of this 761-nucleotide long non-coding RNA. RefSeq lists it as uncharacterized. Lineage: Eukaryota; Metazoa; Chordata; Actinopteri; Syngnathiformes; Syngnathidae. The transcript has 5 exons. The record is from RefSeq and is a predicted model, not a curated record.